RNAcentral lists this ribosomal RNA (500 nucleotides) under uncultured bacterium. Its description in RNAcentral is "bacterial SSU rRNA". It matches the Rfam family "Bacterial small subunit ribosomal RNA", at positions 29 to 524 of the family's 1533-position model. The record is from RNAcentral.
AACGAACGCUGGCGGCGCGCCUAAUACAUGCAAGUCGAGCGAGAAGGUGUAGCAAUACACUUGUAAAGCGGCGAACGGGUGAGGAAUGCAUGGGUAACCUACCCUCGAGUGGGGAAUAACUAGCCGAAAGGUUAGCUAAUACCGCAUACGUUUCCGGAACUUCGGUUUCGGAAAGAAAGCAAUACCGUGGGUAUUGCGCUCCUGGAUGGGCUCAUGUCCUAUCAGCUUGUUGGUGAGGUAACGGCUCACCAAGGCUUCGACGGGUAGCUGGUCUGAGAGGACGAUCAGCCACACUGGCACUGCGACACGGGCCAGACUCCUACGGGAGGCAGCAGUAAGGAAUAUUGCGCAAUGGACGAAAGUCUGACGCAGCGACGCCGCGUGGGGGAUGAAGGUCUUCGGAUUGUAAACCCUUUCGGGAGGGAAGAUGGAGUGGGUAACCACUUGGACGGUACCUCCAGAAGCAGCCACGGCUAACUCGUGCCAGCAGCCGCGGUAAU